CCAGACUCCUACGGGAGGCAGCAGUGAGGAAUAUUGGUCAAUGGGCUUACGCCUGAACCAGCCAAGUCGCGUGAGGGAAGACGGCCCUACGGGUUGUAAACCUCUUUUGUCGGGGAGCAAAGCGAGUCACGUGUGACUCAUUGAGAGUACCCGAAGAAAAAGCAUCGGCUAACUCCGUGCCAGCAGCCGCGGUAAUACGUAGGGGGCGAGCGUUAUCCGGAUUUACUGGGUGUAAAGGGAGCGUAGACGGCAGUGCAAGUCUGAAGUGAAAGCCCCGGGCUUAACCCGGGAAUUGCUUUGGAAACUGUACGGCUGGAGUGCUGGAGAGGUAAGCGGAAUUCCUAGUGUAGCGGUGAAAUGCGUAGAUAUUAGGAGGAACACCAGUGGCGAAGGCGGCUUACUGGACAGUAACUGACGUUGAGGCUCGAAAGCGUGGGGAGCAAACAGGAUUAGAUACCCCCGUACCG
This 467-nucleotide ribosomal RNA is filed under the name uncultured bacterium. RNAcentral describes it as "bacterial SSU rRNA". It matches the Rfam family "Bacterial small subunit ribosomal RNA", at positions 331 to 793 of the family's 1533-position model. The record is from RNAcentral.